UGGCGGACGGGUGAGUAAUGUCUGGGAAACUGCCCGAUGGAGGGGGGUAACUACUGGAAACGGUAGCUAAUACCGCAUAACGUCGCAAGACCAAGAGGGGGACCUUCGGGCCUCUUGCCAUCGGAUGUGCCCAGAUGGGAUUAGCUAGUAGGUGGGGUAACGGCUCACCUAGGCGACGAUCCCUAGCUGGUCUGAGAGGAUGACCAGCCACACUGGAACUGAGACACGGUCCAG
This 234-nucleotide ribosomal RNA is filed under the name uncultured bacterium. RNAcentral's name for it is "partial 16S ribosomal RNA". It matches the Rfam family "Bacterial small subunit ribosomal RNA", at positions 96 to 334 of the family's 1533-position model. The record is from RNAcentral.